RNAcentral lists this ribosomal RNA (253 nucleotides) under uncultured bacterium. Its description in RNAcentral is "partial 16S ribosomal RNA". It matches the Rfam family "Bacterial small subunit ribosomal RNA", at positions 524 to 776 of the family's 1533-position model. The record is from RNAcentral.
UACAGAGGUCUCAAGCGUUGUUCGGAUUCAUUGGGCGUAAAGGGUGCGUAGGUGGCGGGGUAAGUCAGGUGUGAAAUCUCGGAGCUCAACUCCGAAACUGCACUUGAUACUGCCUUGCUCGAGUACUGGAGAGGAGAUUGGAAUUUACGGUGUAGCAGUGAAAUGCGUAGAUAUCAGGAGGAACAGCGGUGGCGAAGGCGGGUCUCUGGGCCGAUACUGACGCUGAGGAGCGAAAGCAUGGGGAGCGAACAGG